Molecule: ribosomal RNA, 468 nt
Filed under: uncultured bacterium
Lineage: Bacteria
Description: partial 16S ribosomal RNA
Rfam family: Bacterial small subunit ribosomal RNA
Source: RNAcentral
GACGAACGCUGGCGGCGUGCUUAACACAUGCAAGUCGAACGGAAAGGCCCUGCUUUUGUGGGGUGCUCGAGUGGCGAACGGGUGAGUAACACGUGAGUAACCUGCCCUUGACUUUGGGAUAACUUCAGGAAACUGGGGCUAAUACCGGAUAGUAGCUCCUGCUGCAUGGUGGGGGUUGGAAAGUUUCGGCGGUUGGGGAUGGACUCGCGGCUUAUCAGCUUGUUGGUGGGGUAGUGGCUUACCAAGGCUUUGACGGGUAGCCGGCCUGAGAGGGUGACCGGCCACAUUGGGACUGAGAUACGGCCCAGACUCCUACGGGAGGCAGCAGUGGGGAAUAUUGCACAAUGGGCGGAAGCCUGAUGCAGCAACGCCGCGUGCGGGAUGACGGCCUUCGGGUUGUAUACCGCUUUCGCCUGUGUCGAAGCGUGAGUGACGGUAAUGGGUAAAGAAGCACCGGCUAACUACGUG